Molecule: ribosomal RNA, 449 nt
Filed under: uncultured organism
Description: partial 16S ribosomal RNA
Rfam family: Bacterial small subunit ribosomal RNA
Source: RNAcentral
UACACUCCUACGGGAGGCAGCAGUGGGGAAUAUUGGACAAUGGGCGCAAGCCUGAUCCAGCCAUGCCGCGUGAGUGAUGAAGGCCCUAGGGUUGUAAAGCUCUUUCACCGGUGAAGAUAAUGACGGUAACCGGAGAAGAAGCCCCGGCUAACUUCGUGCCAGCAGCCGCGGUAAUACGAAGGGGGCUAGCGUUGUUCGGAUUUACUGGGCGUAAAGCGCACGUAGGCGGACUAUUAAGUCAGGGGUGAAAUCCCGGGGCUCAACCCCGGAACUGCCUUUGAUACUGGUAGUCUUGAGUUCGAGAGAGGUGAGUGGAAUUCCGAGUGUAGAGGUGAAAUUCGUAGAUAUUCGGAGGAACACCAGUGGCGAAGGCGGCUCACUGGCUCGAUACUGACGCUGAGGUGCGAAAGCGUGGGGAGCAAACAGGAUUAGAAACCCCGGUAGUCCCA